UUCAUUCAAGCUACCACAAAGGUCUAAGGGUGGCUUCCCAUAAGUCUCUAGAAGGGACAGCAAUGAUACAAACCAACCACAUGAUAUGUGUCUUUCCCCCUGCACAGACCACAGUGACCAUCGUGGGAAGCUUCUCUGCAAAACACUCAGAGUGCGUGGUGAAGAACGCAGACACCGGCAAGCUGCUCUGCCAAGGGAGAAGUCAGCUGAACCGGACCUGUGCCUGCAACAUCCCCAGCAGACAGAGCUACAAUGUCUUAGUUGUCAAUGCAACGUUCUUCUUCCCAUCUUGGAACUUAUCAGAAAGAUUCAACUUUACCAACUGUGCAUCAUUAAAAGAAUGCCCAGCAUGUAUCGGAACUGGCUGUGCUUGGUGUAAACCUGACCAAAAAUGCAUCCACCCCUUCGCAGCCUGCGACCC
RNAcentral lists this long non-coding RNA (421 nucleotides) under Cricetulus griseus (Chinese hamster). RNAcentral's name for it is "lncRNA (ENSCGRG00000026197.1)". Lineage: Eukaryota; Metazoa; Chordata; Mammalia; Rodentia; Cricetidae. The record is from RNAcentral.